ACACGACUACAUUAGAUACCCCGGUAGUCCCAGCCCUAAACGAUACUCGCUAGGUGUCGGCCACGGUGCGACCGUUGUCGGUGCCGUAGGGAAGCCGUGAAGCGAGCCACCUGGGAAGUACGGCCGCAAGGCUGAAACUUAAAGGAAUUGGCGGGGGAGCACAACAACGGGUGGAGCUUGCGGUUUAAUUGGAUUCAACGCCGGAAAUCUUACCGGGACCGACAGCAACAUGAAGGCCAAGCUGAAGACUUUGCCGGAUUAGCUG
RNAcentral lists this ribosomal RNA (265 nucleotides) under uncultured archaeon. RNAcentral's name for it is "partial 16S ribosomal RNA". It matches the Rfam family "Archaeal small subunit ribosomal RNA", at positions 717 to 982 of the family's 1478-position model. The record is from RNAcentral.